RNAcentral lists this ribosomal RNA (324 nucleotides) under Triticum aestivum (bread wheat). RNAcentral describes it as "partial small subunit ribosomal RNA". Lineage: Eukaryota; Viridiplantae; Streptophyta; Magnoliopsida; Poales; Poaceae. The record is from RNAcentral.
AUGCAGCGGGAAUCGCCGCGGCGGGCCGCCGACCUGCAGCCGGAGCAAGACGCCGCGGGCCGUCGACCUGCAGCGGCAGCCACCGCGCUGGGCCGAGGAGCUGCAGUGGGAGCCGCCGCCGCGGGGCGCCGAGCUGCAGCGGGAGCCACCGCGCCGGGCCGAGGAGCUGCACCGGGAGCCGCCACGCUGAGCUACUGCUGCCGGGGGCCAAGGUGCCGUUGUCGGCAUCCUCCAGUAGGUUGGGGGAAGAAGAACAGAGUAAAGGCGUUGAACUGGGGAAAAGGUGAGCUGGUCGAUGGAACUCACACACAGCAGAGAAGAUAA